AAAAUCUCUUUUGUUUCUCCUUCUCUCCCACAAAACCCUAACACCGCCUCUCUUUCCAUUGCCAAGGUUGGCCAGUGUUGGAUCUCCGAAACACCACCCAAAUCUCACCAUGCAACCUCUACCUUUCCCUCAAUCAAAGUCCACUAUCAUUCCCCCAUAAAACCUCAUCAAAGCAGCCUAUUUCUUGAAUCUAAGGCUGACGGAAAAGGAGUUCGUUAGGUUUCCAGAUUUCUUUGAGCAAUAGGGUCUAAAACGAGUAUUAACCAUUUGUUCUCGUCAAGAACAUGUGGUUAAUACCUGUGUUGGAUCAAAUCAUAAUUUCUUAAAUUCUAUCAGUUUAGGAAUCAAAAGAUUUCAGAGGUAUCGUCUUCCAUAUUCUUCGUGUGUUUUGUUUAAAUUUUCAAUACUUUGUUCUUUUGUUUUAUUCUUCUCCAUAUUAUGUUCUUUAUUUGGUAUUUAGUUUUUAUUUUUUGCUAUUCAGUGGUUAAUUUCAAUUAAUCGUUUUGGCUAGAAUAAUUUUAUUUGUUAUUACAAGUUAGCAUUAAGUUGUUUAGUUUAGUCGAUUGAGCUGUUUCAGAACUAGUUUCGCCAUGUUUUCAUUUUUAGGGAAAUUUUGACCCUUCUCUGGGACAAUUUUACUUAGCCCAAGGAAUUCACGAGGGCCUUGAAAUCAGAGGCAUCAAAUAGUUCGUUUGGGUCUGCCUAGACCCAUUAGGCUGGGUCAAUUGACCCAUUUUUUUUCUAAGAUUUAAGAGGAAAUAACAGGGGUUGUCAGGUAGCUUAGGUAUUCGGAGGAUAUAUUAUCUUUCAUAACAAACUAAGAUGCUUCUAGGGUGGGUGGGAUUUGAAUUUCAGCCUUUUGGGUAGUCGAACUUGGAGAACAAGUCAGAAAUAUAUGGAUACCUAAGCAAUAAUGAGAAUUCAGAAAGGAUUGAAAAUGAAAACUGAAAAUCUGAAGCUCCCCCUUAGUUUUUCCUAUAAAAGACAGUAGAUGAUGCCUUAAUGGAAGAGUUUUUUUAGCCUUUACAAUUCCCCCCAAAAAAUAUUCUAUAGUUUCCAGAAGCUGAAAUUUGAAUUUCAGAUUCAAAAACUAGGUCUGGAAUUUGAAACCUCUUUUAGAUCUUAAACUUUUCAGAAAAUAAAAAAAAUAGCAGAAACUCCAAAAGAUAUAUUGUUACAUCAAGCUUUUGUAGAUCGAUUGCAAGUUCAGCUUGUUAAUCUGAGUUCCUAGUGUUCCUGGACUCAAUUGCAAGUUCGUUAUUGGUUUAUUCAAGUUAUUUUUGGGUGUUUCUAAUAGAUGAAGGUUUUCUAGAAUUUAUGGGUUCAAUUUCAAGUUCAUUUGGGUUUAUUCAAGUUGUUUAUGGUUGAUUUCCUAGUUUUCUCUGAUUUCGAACUCUUCCUGGAUUGUCGAAUUCAUUUCUGGGCUGUUAUCCGAUCUCUGCUCGUUAUUGCUGCUGAUUUCUUCUUCUUAUAUUUCAAACAUCCAAGUACAUUUUAUGUAACCUUCAAGCUUGUGUACAUGAAGUGAAAUGUUACUUGAGAUGAUUUCGGAUUUCUCAUGUUUUGUUUUAAUUCAAAAGUAUAGAACAAUUAUGUUUAUUCGAAUCACUUGUAUAAUUGGACAGUUUGAGGUUGUGUAGGACUGUUAAACUCAUUUGAUUUGUGUGAAGAUUUGAAACAUCAGGUUUAAUUUGGUUACACCUUAAUUCGUGUUGUAGUUAAAUAUGAUAUUUUGCCUAUGAUAGUUUAGCAUGGGAGGUUUGUGCUAGUAGUAAGAAACUGAUUCUGAAAUCGUUAAUGAUAUAGUUUGUAGUUAAUGUUAAAAUAAUGAUUACAUUUAGGAAUUGAACAUUCUGGGUCAUUUCAGCUUUAAUUAUACUAGUCAUGAGGGCUGCAUAAGGAUCACGUCCCUAUUGGAAUCAAACUGUGAGAGCUUGAAACUGCUGUUAUUGUGUUAGUCUUUAAAAUUUGCAAGCCUAUUUACUUUUUAAAAGGUUGUUUAAUUGCGGAUAGUCAUUGUUAGGUUGAAAAUAGUUUCGAGUUUUCUUACAAAUGUGAUAGCCUGUUGUUAUUUAAUUUAAAUUCGAUGGCAUCUUAAGUCUUUACUUCAAGUUGAAAAUCAGAUGUUGAGCCCUUUUGUUUCCUGAAUUUGGGCCUAUGCCUUCUGUCAAUUUGGGCCUUGUUCCAAAAUCCAGGCAUUAGAAACUUCACAAACUACUUAAUUAGGCUUUUUGUAGAGACAAUCCAUAAGAGGAAAAUCGUAGUCUUUUAGGUUAGCUUUUUAAAAAAAUGAGGUGCGCCGCGCCCAAACAAAACCAUAAAUCUCAUUGCCCUCUUAAUCAUAUUAAAAAUACUUUAGACCAUGGGACGAUCCAUUAGCGAAUUUUAUGGCCUCCCACAAAGUUAAUGAUAUGCUAGUUGCUUUAGGCCCGACAUUUAAUAAUAAUACUUUCCUAAAUUCGGGUGCACAUUUAUGUGACCCAAAUUUAAAUCUCAACGAAGUUGAAAUGUGUCAAAACCUACGAGUGUAUUUAUGUGAUGUGAUUCAAGAUAUGUUUUCACGACAUUGCAAUUCUCUUUUAAAAUAAUAAACAUGUCUUAAAAUCAGAUAUUUAGCCAAAUAUGACAGUUGAGCGACCAUGCUAAAACAACAGGACCUGGGAUGCCUAACACCUUCUCCCGGGUUAACAGAAUUUCUUACUCGGAAUUUUUAUUCGCGGAAUGUUAAACAGAGACAAUGAUUUCCUCGAUUCGGGAUUCAACUGGUAACUUGGGACACCAAUAGUCUCCUAAAUGAUAACUCUGAAUUUUUAAUAAAUAAAUUCCGUUUCAAUUGUCCUUUAAUUAGAAAAACUCCUUUAGGCCCUUACGGGUGUAGGUAAAAAGGAGGUGUGACCAGGGGUGAUUUGUGUGGUAUCCAAUAUUCGAUCUUGAAAAUUUUGAUUCUUCUAGGUGUUCUAACUGCUACUGUUUUCGAUAUUAAAAUACAAAAAUAAAAGAAUACAAAGAUUUUUACGUGGAAAAUACCUGGCUCAAUAGGCGAAAAACCCACAACCUACUACUCCGUAGUAUUUUCUCAAACAUCCACUAAACUCAAUGAGCCAAAAUAGUAUUUACAAAAAUCUUGUAAACCUAAGGAUUAACUAUAAUCCCAGUGUGGCACACGGCCUCAACUGUUGCGACCCUUCAAGUUAACUCUAACUUGAACACUCAAAGUGCCUAAUACAAUUGCUUCUAUGAAAGUUGGAAAGGUACAAGUUUUAAGCCACCUAAUGUAAUUGAACUAGAAUAAGAAUAAAUACAAUGGAACUGGUUCUUCUAUAUCGUUCAAGUAGCUGCAUGAGUGCACUCUUUAUCUCACAUAAAUUGCUUGCAAAAUUGUCUUGCUCUUUUGCUCUCAAUUUAGCUUAACUUCUGUGUGUGCAUAUCUAUAAAAGAGAACAACUCAGUAACUUAUUAGGUUAGUAAUCAGAUUUUGAUUGUGAUUCAAUUUCUUAUCCUCCAUUUAAUUUGAGUCCUAGAACAAUAUAAACUCCAAUCCUUAUCUGAUGUGUUCUCUUCUGAUAAGGACACUUCUUCUCCUUAUCCCAUAUGCAAUAUUUUCGAUCAGUUCAGAAGAUAUUCAGAAGAUAUUCCUGCUUGAUACCAAAGGCUUAUCUUCUUCAUGGCAUCCCAUAUGCAUGGGCCAUAACCACUGUGUCUCAUAAUAUUGACCUGGCCUUUCACUGGGUUCAUUUGUCAUUCUUCAAAACUUCAAGUGAACUUGGGCCGAGUAAUUCCCCUUUUUUAAUGAUGAUAAACUCUGUACUUUUACUGAUUAGAGAACCUAUGGAACUCAUCUAAUUAUCAAUACUUUUACUUAAGAUAAUUUAAUUCAUCAUUAAGGACCAUAUUUAAUCAGGUUAUAAAUAUCACUUUUUUAGAAUAAAAGUAAAGCAUAAUAUCUCUUCUCCCUUUUGGCAUCAUCAAAAAGUUUCAUAUCAUGUGAAUCCCAGAUUGUAAUAGUUACACAUGGCCAGUGGGUCAACUGCAUGUUAAAGCAUGGUUUAGUGAAACAAUAAUCAACCUUGACAAAAACUUAACUAUUGGGAGCAAAUUCAUCACAAGUAAGAGAAAAGUUGAUUAUCAUUGAUAGUAAAUGCUUCUACAACCAGUCCACAAAAAGAAAGAAAAACAUUCAACCAUGAGAAACAAAAACAAGCAAAGAAAACUCCCUAAUCUGGGUCAUUGGGGGGUUACUAGACUGGUUCAAGGACAAUUCUGGGGGACCUAAGGCUUGGAGGAACUAGAAGGUUGGGAUUGGAGAAUAUUGAGCAUCGUUUAAAGCAUCCCUUCACCCUUUUCGUUUUCUUUUGCUAGCUCAUCUUUUAGGCUAUUCCUCUCAUUUUCAAGUUCAGCAACUCGAGCCUUAAGCCUAGCAAUCUCAGCAUCCUUUGACCAAGACUCUUUAACCAAAUCCCUAACCUUGUUGUUCACUGGAGUCUUCAAAGAUAAACCAUGUUCAAUUGGGCCUGUACUGAGGAGAUAGUCACAAGCCUACAGGGUUUUGACACCAAAAUGGUCCUUGCUGGAGGCCAUCUUUCAUUUCUUCAAGGGAAAAUUCAAUCUAUCCAGCACACUCAUAAAUACGAAACCAUAGGGAGUAGUAAGAUCCUUGGAGCCAUUUAUGACAUUGUCCUGUAACUUGACAAUGAAGGCUGGCCAAUUAAUUUGCUUUCCUCUCACAAGGCAUUCCAUAAGAGCCAAGUCCAUAUGAUUAGAAGUAUGUCUCCUCUCCUGUCAGGGCAGCAGACACUUGUUCACAAAUUCUAAUAGCACCUUGUGCUCAGACUUCAUCUCACUCUUCUGUACAAAUCCUGCCUCUGGCACAUCUUAGCAGACUCAGUGUCACAAAAUUUCCUGGUUAUUUGGAGAGCACUAGGAAGAUCAUAUAGAUAAGGACACCUCUGCUUAUUAUAGUCAUCAUAUCCCUCGCAUGGUAUGUCUAGAAUUGUCCCCAAUUUAGGUGCAUUAAAUUGCACCUUCACUCCCCUAACCACACUGCUGACUACCCCAUUUUUCACAGUGGCAUUUGCCAUAAACACGUUCAGCUUCUUUCUUGUCAGCCUUCCAUCCAGUUGAAGGACCAUGUCCUUCCAACCUUUUACAGCUAGAGGAUCCACCAACCUAAUCAUGUCUAGAUCCUCCAGGUCUUUCAACAAUCUUCCAUUCAGAAUCUUUCUCUUGCCAAAGAUGGCAAAUCCAUCUUGUUCCGUUUCAGACUCCUCAUCUUCUUCUUCUACACUACACUCUUCUUCUUCUUCUUCAGUAACUUUUACUUGUUAUCCCUUCAUUGCAGACCUAGUUCUUUUGGCCAAGAAGGGUUCAGCAGAUACAGAUUUUGAAGACUUCUUUGCAGGAGUCUUGGUUCCUUUUGGUUUGGCAAUGGGAACCUCCACAGUUGUACCCCUCUCUUGAUGGACCAAUUCCACCUCCUCCUCCUGUUCUUCAGCAGCCUCAGAAUAUUCCAUAACCUUUUCUUUCUUCUUUUUCUUACUCUUCUCUAAAGCUUUCUAUAGUUCUCCCUUGCUUUGCUUGACCCUGCUCCUUGUAGCUUUUUCUUUUGGCAAUGAAGGAACAGCAGACUUGGAAGAUGACACCUUGCUUUUUUUAAAUGGUUUGGAAGCGAUUGGGGACUUUUUGGAAGAAGCCUUGCGCUUCUUUGGAUCAUAACUGGCCCCAACCUUCUUCAAGAUAUCAGCCAAGGUUUCCUUCACGCAUGAACCAGGUUCAUCUUGCUGCUCACUCAGAUAAACAAGGCCUUCAGCAGCCUCUCCAGAACUACUUCCCCCUGACUUGACGCCACCCUCUUCUACACUACCGCAUAUAGCAAGAACUUCUCCUUUAUUUUUCUUUCCCCUUCUUCUAGACCCAGUCCCCUCUACAAUUUGUACAGAUACAACCAACACAAACCUAUUUUUCUCCCUUUUUACCACAUCAGAAAAAGCAAAACAAGUAUUUAUUUCACUUGGAUUUCUUGAUUCUUGUCAGUGUCAGAAGACUUAUGUUAUCUACCAUCACUUGCAGAGAGAAAUACCUCAGACUCAGAUCUUGAGUCAAAUUCUUUUGCUGGACUUUCCUUCUUUUGGCUAGCUUUCAAUUUUUUGUUUAAGGCUUUUCUCAAAGGGCCCGAAGCUACAGUUUUCCUAGCAACAUUUUAUGGCGAUGAAUCCUAGGUUUGGGGCUUUUAACAGGAGGGUGGAGGAUGAAGUAUUAGGAGAUACUGGCGGGGGGAGUACCUGGGUUGUCUUGAGGGUUUGUCAUGGUAGAGAAUUUUUGGUAAUUUUGGAAAUUUUGGAUAUGAAGGAGAUGAUCAGAAUUUUGGAGAGGGUGAGUGACGGUUUUGAGCAUGAAGAAGAGAUGUGGUGUGUAUUUAAAGAGGUUUUAUGAUUAAGUUCAGUAACGGCAGGCUUUUUCAGUUGUCAAUUAAAGGUCUAAUCAUAUUAGAAUUCCGGUCUCUUGGUGAUUAAUGGACGACGCUAGUUUUUAGGAAAACAUUUUGUUUUAAUUAGACUCCUAGGGUAAUGAAACUGGUUUAAUGUUCAAUGGAUACAAUUUUUGGAAGCUUUGUGUAGUUAGGACUUUUGCUCAUGAUUGAGAAAUUUCUCUUUCUAAUUGUGCAAAGUAUAGAAACAUACCUGAACUUUCUCAUGAGCAUAUACUGAUGAACCAGGUUCUUCAAGUAAAAUUUCUCUUGAUCAUACCUCAAAUGUCAAAAUAGAAAAACUUUGUAAAAGAUCAGUGAAUCAUAUAACCACAAGUCAUAGAAAUAUACUAACUAAAGUAUGAAACUGAGUAAGAAUUAAUCUAGAUAUUUACAUGAUAUUAAGAGCUCCUAACCAAAAACAAAUUUCUUGUGCAUUCUGAAUUGGAUCUUUUAGGUGAUCUUAAUCAUCCAUAAUUCGAACAUGUUCCUUUCAAAGUUUUCUCUGCUCAUUGCUUUAGUGAAGAUAUCAGCUAUUUAUUUAUUAGUAGCACAGAAUUCUAUUGAGAUUAGCCCUUUUCUCAUAGUUAUCUCUUAAGAAGUGGUGUCUAACAUCUAUGUGCUUGGUCCUUUUAUGAUGAACAUGGUUCUUUGUCAUACUUAUAGCACUAGUUUUAUCACAAAUUAUUGGAAUACAUCCCACUUCAAUUCCAAAGUCUAUCAUCUGUUGUUUGAUCCAUAGCAAUUGAGCACAACAUGAAGCAGCAGCAACAUAUUCAGCUUCAGCAGUAGAUAGGGCUACUGAAUUUUCCUUUUUGGUAGCCCAUGGCACAGACAUGACCCCAAGAAAUGUGCCAUACCAUAAGUGCUCUUCCUGCCACUAAGAAACCUGCAUAAUCAGCAUCAGCAUGUCCUACUAGAUCAAAAUUUCUACCUUUGGGAUACUAAAGACAUAGAUCAGUGGUGCCUUUCAGAUAUCUCAGGUCUAUUGGCAGUAAGAUACAAUAGUGAAGCAAUCAUACCCCUAUACAACUUUUGAUUAACUGAUGAACCAUGUUCAUCAACAUCUAAUUUAGUCACAGUUGCAAUAGGUGUAUCUAUUUCUUUGGAGUCCUCCAUUUAAACUUUUUAAUUACUUCUUUUGUAUACUUGUAACGACCCGGCCGAUCCUAUUUCAAAUUUAUGCCUCGUUCCCCCAUUAACUGCUUCUCCUAAGUUCAUUUCUGCUAUUUUGGUUUGCCGAGACGUACGGUAUUAGGACUUGGAGUGUUUUGGUACACUUAAUCCCUAAUUGAGAACUUAAGUGUUAGAAAGUGGUUCGUAAUUGGAACAAUGUAAAGACGACCUUGGAAGGGAAAUCUAAUGGUUCAUUUAGCUCUGUUAGGUGAUUUCAGGUUGGGAGCGUGUUCGGAAGGUGUUUUAGUUGUCAAUAACUCAUAUAGGCAAGAAAUGCCAAAACUUAAAAUUUUGAAGGUUCCAGUCCGAUAGUGAAUUUUUUAUCCGAGGGUAAGAAUGGAAUUCCAGAAGUUUUUGUAGCACCUCGUGUCAUUAGGGACGUGCACGCAAAUUUUAGGUCAAUCGGACGAGUGUCGGUUAGAUUUUUUAUCGAAAGCGUAUUUUGGAUGAACUUGAAGUUCUUAGGCUUGAAUCUUUGAUUUAGUCGAGUUUCCGUUGUUGUUUUAUAUAUCGUAAGGAUUGGCGUAGGUUUGAAUAAGGUAUUAGGUUGUAUUGGUGUUUUUGGUUGAGGUCCCAGGGGCCCCGGGUGUAUUUUGGAUGCUCAUUGGACAAAUUUAUGGAGUUAUAAGAAAAAAAUUCAACAAGUCUUUGGGUAUUUCCACUUCCGCAGCUUGGGAACUGCAGAAGUAGAGCCGCAGAAGAAGAGUCGCAGAAGCGGCAUGGCAACCGCAGAAGCUAAAGGAAGGCAAGUCAGCUAGGUGCGCAGAAGCGGUGGAAUUUUCGCGAAAGCAGAAUCACUUCUGCGAGUGUAUGACCAUAGAAGCGGAACCUGGAGUUUAUGUGAGGAGUCGCAGAAACGGCUAGUGGUCCGCAAAAGUGGGACGCAUAAGCGGUCCUUGUCCGCAGAAGCGGAAAGCACUAUUAUAAAAAGUGGAAAUCCGAGGGUUUAUUUCAAAAGUUAGAUAAACCAAAAUUUAGCUCGGGAGAAGGCGAUUUUGGGUGAAAUUUGAAGAAAAGAUCAGUGGGUAAUGUUUUAUUAACCUCAUUUAGUUAUUUUUCUACCAAUGUCUAGUUAAAUCCACCAUCAGAAUUCAAAUUCAAGGUCAAAAUUGGGGGAAAUUGGAUGAAACUUCUUAGACUUAAUUAUUUUAUUUUGAUGGGCAUUUGACCUCUUAUUUGGGAGAUAUUUAUAUGGUUAGACUCGUGAGAGUACGAGGGUUCGGAAUAUUUGAAAAUUAUUUGAUUCCGAGUUGUUGGAAUGAGGGGCGUUUUGGUCAUUUUAUCUAUUUUCAUGUCGUAGCUAUACUUUUAAUUGUGGAAUUAGUUACCUAUGAUUUUAUUUAUGUUAUCUAAUUAGAUUGAAUAGAUUUGGGCCAUUUAGAGUCGGAUACUCGUGGCAAAGGCAUUGUUCAUAGUUGAUUUCGGUACCGGUUGGAGGAAAGUGGCUUGAUUAACUUUUUGUGGGGGACCUCUCCCCUUAGGAUAUAGUAUUUGUUAUUUUAAAUGCCUUGUACGCAAGGUGACAGACAUGUACUUGGACUAAUUGCUGCAAAUCUGUUUUAAUUAGAAUAUUUAAGCUAUGUUUUCUUGCAUAUUUGCCUAAUCUAAAUGCCAUUUAACUUGUGUUAUCUUAAGAAAAGCAUGUGUAGAUGACUUACUUGCUUAUUUGCCUAAAUUGUAUUAUCUGUCCUCCGUGAAGCAUGCUAGACUAAAAUUCUAUUAAUUGUUCAUACUUAGAAUUAUAUUAUAUUUGAAUUAUUGUGGUGUGUUUAGAAUUUAGGACUACGGGACAACAUCCUGGAAGUUUCCCCUACACGUGUUACAUACUAAGACCGAGAGUGUGGAUAUCAAGAGAUCCCUGGCACAGAUAUGACUAUAAGAUGGAGGAUACCAGAAGAUCCACGGGAUACUAAGAAAUCCCUUGUGUAUAAAUGGAGGGUACCAACAGAUCCUCGGGAUACUAGGAGAUCCCUCAUGUAUAUUAUGAGGAUACCAGGAGAUCCUCGGGACACCAGGAGAUCCCCAAUGAUAAAUAUCUGAUGGUCUUUGUACUUCUAUUUAUUUACUGUGUUGGUUCUCGGUUACAGUCUUAUUUGUUAUCUUGCUAGAUUCUCGCAAUAGAUUAUAUCCAUGUUGUCUUUUCCUUAUCAUAUUGAUUAUUAUGUUUUUAUCUCAAUGGGGCCUCGACCUUCCUUGUCACUACCCGACCGAGGUUAGUCUUGCCACUUACUGAGUACCGCUCUGGUGUACACACACCUCUUCUACGUAUAUUUUUCAUGUGCGAACCCAGGUAAUUCCUCCCAGGCGUUUCAUCCUCGCAACGAAGAGCAUUAGCGGAGACUCGAGGUAUAUCUGCUAUGUCCACAUGCCUGAAGUCUAUAUUUAAUUCCAUAUGUAGCAGAUAGCUCAUUUCCCUUAUUUUCAUGUUAUUCUAGAUACUCUGUGUACAACAUAUUGUGAAACUCUUUUACUCUGUGUAGCCCAUAAGAUUCCGGAUUUUGGGAUUGUUACAGAAUUGUAGUGUUAAAGUGUAUGUGUCAGGCGCCAACUUUAUGCAUUUUCUUAUGUUAUUUAGCUUUAAGUUAUUGUUUUUCGUUAAGGUUGUAAAUUCCGCAAUGUAAUAGUCUUACCUAGUAAUGAAGACUAGGUGCCGUCAUGACAUGUUCACAAUUGGUGAACUAUGGUCAUGACAAUACUUCUGCUGAUGGAUCAUGGUCCCAUUUGGGAUUUGUUUGAUCUACAAGCCUAGGAAGAAGUUUAGUUCACCCAUCAUACUCAUUUCAAACUCACUUCCUAAUAAUUUUGCAAAACACUUACUCAACGUAUCAGUAGUGGCCCCAAAUAUUAUGUCAUCAACAUAUACUUGCACAGCAAGGAGGUCUUUACCUUUUUCCCUUAGGAACAAAGUGCUGUCAAUUUUACCUCUUUUGUACCCAUGCUCCAAUUGAAAUUUUGAUAGUCGUUCAUAGCUCUUAAGGACUAUUUAAGCCCAUAUAGAGCCUUGUCUAGCUUGUACACAUACUCGGGACAUUCCUUGCUUUCAACUCCUGCAUGUUGUUUCACAAACACUUCUUCCUUGAGGUAGCCAUUUAGGAAAGCACUUUUGACAUCCAUCUGAUGGAGAGUAAAUCCCAUAUGUGCUGCAAAGGCAAUGAGGAGUCUGAUUGCCUCUAGUCUUGCAACUAGAGCAAAGGUCUCAUCAUAGUCAAUGCCUUCCUCUUGGCUAUAGCCCAAAACCACCAGCCUUGCCUUAUUUCUUGUAACAGUUCCAUCUUCAUCAAGUUUGUUCUUGAAGAUCCAUUUUGUACCAAUGACUAAUCUGUCCUUGGGUCUAGGGACUAGAUGCCAAACUUGACUUCUUUCGAAUUGAUUGAGUUCCUCCUGCAUAGCAUUGACCCAAUCUGCAUCCUGAAAAGCCUCAACAACAUUUUUAGGUUCAAUAAGAGAUAGAAAAGCAUCAAGUUCACACAGAUUCUUUACUUGUGAUCCAUUUUUAACUCCAGAAGUUGGGUCAUUAAUGAUGUUCUCAGUGGGAUGACAACUUUGAUACUUGUGAGAUUUCACCACCAACUGGUUUCUACUAGAUAUUCUCCUACAUUCUGCUGCUGAGGAACAGGUUCAUAGACAAGUUCUUAUGGAGAGUUUGUUUCAUUUUCUCCCUGAUUAGUUCCCCCAUAAGGUUGCCCUGAGUGGAAGAACCUGUUCCAGCACUUAUUCCAUCACCUAUUCCUUCUUUGAUGCUACUUUAGUCAAUUCUUUUACCAUACCAAUGGCUUCAUCUUCAUGUUCCUGUCUCUUAGAAAAAAUGUUAGUUUCAUCAAAUACAACAUGCACACUUUAUUCUACACACAAAGUUCUUUUAUUGAAUACUUUAUAUACUUUUCUAUGUGAAGAAUAUCCCAAGAAUACUCCCUCAUCACUUCUGGGAUCAAACUUACCUAGGGAGUCUUUUCCAUUAUUGUGCACAUAGCACUUGCAACCAAAUGCCCUAUGGUGGAUUUUUUUGGUUUUUAUCCCUUUAAAUAACUCAAAGGGAGUUUUCUCAACAAGAGGUCUAGUCAUGCAUCUAUUGAUUAUGUAGCAUGCAGUGUUUAUAGCCUCUUCUCAAAAGUUGUGGGGGUAAUUUACUAGAGAGAAGCAUGGUCCUUGCCAUAUCCUUAAGGGUCCUGUUCUUUCUUUCAACUACUCCACUUUGCUGAGUAGUCCUAUGGGCAUAGAAGUUGUUAUCUAUACCAUCUUCAUCACAAUAUUCAGUAAAUUUUACAUUUUCAAAUUCAGUUCUGUGCUCAGACCUAAUGGAUGCAAGCUGAUUUCCUAAUUGUUUCUGAGUUUUUCUAACAAAAGCAGUAAACAUUUCAAAGUCUAAUCUUUAGAUGUCAGAAAUAGUACCCCCAGGUAUAUCUAGAAUAAUCAACAAGCAUCAUCACAUAUUUCUUUCCACCUCUGCUCAUAGUUCUUAUUGGACCACAAAGAUCCAUAUGAACCGGUUCCAACGUCUUGGACGUACUUACCAUUUUCUUGGAUUUGAAGGAUAACCUUACCUGCUUCCCCUUGCAUAUGCCUCACAAAAUUUGUCUUCCUUGAAAUUGAUAUUAGGUAACCCUAUCACCAAGUCCUUGGAGACUAAUUUGUUUAGCUGAUUUAGANNNNNNNNNNNNNNNNNNNNNNNNNNNNNNNNNNNNNNNNNNNNNNNNNNNNNNNNNNNNNNNNNNNNNNNNNNNNNNNNNNNNNNNNNNNNNNNNNNNNNNNNNNNNNNNNNNNNNNNNNNNNNNNNNNNNNNNNNNNNNNNNNNNNNNNNNNAAAAAUCUACAAUGUAAAUAUUGUUAACUCUUUUUCCCUGCAAAACAAUCUUGUCAGUGGUAAGGUUAAUCACAAAGCAUUUGGUAGAGGUGAAAGCUAAAAGGUUACCUCUGUCACAUAGUUGUGACACACUGAUUAGGUCAUAUUUUAAUCCAUCUAUCAAGUAGGCAUUCUAAAUGGAAUAAGAUCUGUCUUACCUACCUUUCCAACCCCAAUGAUCUCACAUUUCUUUCCAUUUCGAAAGGAGACAUUACCUCCUUUCAGGUUCACCUCCUUUCAGGUUCUCAAGUGAAAUGAACUAGUCCUUGUUCCCAAUCAUAUAUUUUGAGCAGCCACUAUCCAUGUACCAUAUUUGGUUAUUCCCUUUCACUUGAACCUGCAAAACGAAAUCAGCGGUUAGUCUUAGGAACCCAAACUAGUUUGGAUCCCUUUCUAUGGGCAAAAGGAUGAAUUAGAUUUUUUCUUCCCCAACCAGGCAGCUUGUGUUUUUAUUGAAGAAAAGUGUUCCAUUGACUGGCCUUUUCUUUUGCAUUGCAUUCAUUUAUAUAAUGGCCAGUCUUACCAUAGUGUGUGCAGAUCUUAUUUUUAGGAAGUGUGAGGUACUUGUUUUUGGGGUCCCAUUUUGGAACUUGAGUCCCAUAUCCAAGUCCUCUUUUAUUGCUACUGUGAUGCUCUUGCAACUAGGAGAGAGCAUCAGAAGCUUUGUUCCAUUUGCAAGUUCUGUCUAGUUCAUGUUUCAGCUUUCCAAGAUCUUCUUUUAGAACCUUAAUUAGUUCAUCUUUCUUGUAAAAUUCAUCAUUCAUUUUUCCUAGAUUUUCUUCUAGAGAAAGAAAUGAGUGAUCAGCUUUCUUCUUUCCUUUUCCUAGUUUCAGUUUUAGAUUUUUUUGGCCUAAGUUCUAGAAGACUAUUGUUAAGUUCAAGAACGUGGUUCUUCAACUCAGCAUUUUUAUUAUCACUCUCAUCAUCCCUAGAUUCUAGACUUUUGCAUUUUGCUUUUAGAUAACACAUUGCCUAGACAGAACUUCCUUUUUAUUGUUAACUAUCUCAGACUCAUCAUUAAAGUCUAAUAAUAGCUCAGCCAACCUUUCUUUAGAAAGAAAUUUAAUUUUGUCCUUGAGAUGCAGAAUACUUACCUCUUGCUCAUCAACUGAUUCUCCAAUGGCCAUAAGAGCUUGCUCUUCUUCAGCUUCAUCUUCUGAGUCUUCACCAGAGGUUUCACCCGUUGAUUCUCCAAUGGCUAUAAUAGCUUGCUCUUCUUCAGCUUCAUCUUCUGAGUCUUCAUCAGAGGUUUCACCCUAUGCAGCAACCAUAGCCUUGGUUGAACCUUUUGUUUUUGGUUGAACCUGUUUCUUCUUCCUGUUUCUUUGUUCAACCCUUUCUUUCUUCCACUUAAUUUCCCAUUGAGGGCGAUUCUUGAUCAUGUGGUCAGUCUUACCACACUAUAGCAGCCGUCAUUGGUUAUUUCUCAGGAGCUCUUGUCUUGUUGGAGUAUGUACCUCUUGAUGAACCAUUUCCUCUCAUCAGGUACUUUUUGAUAUCUCUAGUGAUCAUAGUCAUCUCAUCCUCUUCCAGAUCUGAACCUUCUGUAAUUUUGAGAGCUAAGAUUCUCUCCUUCUUGAGUGUAUCCAUCUUUCUGGUUUUCCUUCUUAUAAAUAAGCAGUAAGAUUUCCAAUCAGUUCAUCCAGUAAGAUUUACCUCUUCAAGGAUAACAUGCUCUGAUACCAAUUGAUGUUCCAAACGUCAACACCACACAGGGGGUAAUUUGUGUGGUACCCAAUUUUCGAUCCAGAAGAACCUGGUUCUUCUAGGUGUUCUAACUACGACUGUUUGCGGAAUUAAAAUAUAGAAAUAAAAGAACAUAGAGAUUUUUACAUGGAAAACAUCUGGCUGAAAGGUUAAAAACCAUGACCUACUACCCAGUAGGAUUUUCUCAAAUAUCCACUAAAAUCAAUGAUCCAAAACAGAAUUUACAAAACUCUUAUAAACCUAAGGAUUAACUCUAAUCCCAGUGUGGCACACUGCCUCAACUGUUGCGACACCUUCAAGUUAACUCUAACUUGAAUACUCAAAGUACCUAAUACAAUUGCUUCUAUGAAAGCUAGAAAGGUACAAGUUUUAAACCACCUACUACAAUUGAACUAGAAUUAGAAUAAACAGAAUGGAACUGGUUCUUCUAUCUCUUAAACUUGUUACAGGAGUGCACACUUGAUCUCACAUAAAUUGCUUGCAAAAUUGCCUUGCCCUUUUGCUCUCAAUUUAUCUUAACUUCUGUGUAUGUGCAUACUGUAGAAGAGAACAACUCAGUUAUUUAUUAGGUUAGUAAUCAGAGUUUGAUUGUGACUAUUUAUUUAACCUUCAUUGAAUUUGAGUCCUAGAAUAAUCCAAACUCCAACCCUUAUCCGGAUGUGUUCUUUUCUCAUAAGAAGACUUCUUCUCCUUAUUCCAUAUGCAAUAUAUUCAAUAAGUUCAGAAAAUAUUCAGUAGAUAUUGCCUCUUGAUCCCAAAGGCUUAUAUUCUUCACGUUCAUCUCAUGUGCAUGGGCCAUAACCACUGUGUCUCAUAAGAUGGACCUCGUCCUUCACUGAGUUUAUUUGUCAUUCUUCAAAACUUCAACUUAACUUGGGCCAAAGUUUCUUUCGCGAAUUUUUGUUAAGUUCUCCAUUUUUGAAGACGGGAAGUGAGCUAGUGCAGGGAAUUUGAAGGGGAAAUCAAAGAGUAUGAGUUGCGUAAGUUACCUAAGCUUCAUUACUUGUGUUUAUGACCAUUUUUCCAUUGUUUAAUCAUGGUACUAGUGGAAAUUAAGGAAGAAAAUUGAGGAAUUAGGGCUUGAUAUUGGAGAGCUUUGAGUGGGGAUUUGAGGGGCCACUUGAGAUUGGAUUUCGAUGCUUUUGGUAUGAAUAGACUCUUGGGAGGACAAGGAUUCUAUUAAUGUGGUUUUUAUGGAAUUUUAAGACGUGGGACCGGGGGUCGGGUUUUGGUUAAUUUUGGAAUUUUUGGUAUAGUUUGAUUAUUUUCGCAUGGGCUUCGUUCCCUUAGAAUAUUCUAAUAUUAUGAUUCUUAUUUUGGGUAGAUUCAGCGCGAGUUCAAGCCGAGGUGAGAGGCAAAGGCAUCACGGAGUAGUAUUUAAUCCGGUUUGAGGUAAGUAAUCAUUUUAAAUCUGGAACUGAGGAUAUAAAACCAUGGUAUUUCGUAGUGUUUUAAUGAGUUAGGUGAGGCACAUGCUAGGUGGCAAGCGUGUGGGCGUGCACCGAUAGGAAUUGUGACUUGGUCCAUCCCGUAGUGACUAUUAAGCCAUGUAUUUGAUUUGAAAUCUUAUAAUAUCACGUAUUUUAUAGAUUGAUAUUACGUUAUCGGCUGUAUGCCAUGUUUGGGGCCUUGUGCUAACCUGUUGAGACCCUUAGGGCAUUUUUACUGUUUUCCUCACUCUAUUUAUUUGAAAGCAUAUCAUCAGUCGUGUUUACCUGUUUAUUUUAUUGACCUGGUUUUUAUCACUCGAAUUCUUAAAAUAUGAAAGCUAUUUGCGCUGAGUUUUCCUGAUUUUCAUUGUUAUACCCGAGUAGCUAUACUUAUAUGGAACGGGUUGCACGCCGCAGCAAUAUGUAUAUUAGAUUGGGCUGUGCGCCGCAGCGAUAUGACACUUGGGCUGUAGGAGACCCUCCAGAGUCUGUACACCCCAAUGAGCGUAGUCAACUACAAACUAUGGAUCGGGCUAUAUGUCGCAGCGAUUUUAUGAUUUUUACUAUUAUGAAAUAUUAUCGAGCCUGAGUGGCGAAUGUGAGUACUGUGUGACAAGAGCCGAGUCACGAGUGGCUGAGAGGCUUGCCCGUGAGGCUACAUUUAUGAGUGAUACCUUGCCUGAGGUGCCCAUUUAUGACAUUUUUGCUUAUUUCACUCUUCUUUUAUAAUGAGCUUCCGUUGAAAACUGCUAAGUAAAUGAUUUCAAAGUAUUUCAAUAGGAAACUAAAGUUUUUACGAAGUAAUUGGCUUUUAAACUGUUGAGUUUAGUUUGAUACUCUGUUGCCUACUAUCGUAUAUAAUUUUUAAUUGCUCGUCACUGCACUCAGACCUUAUUUACUUUAGUUAUUUACUGAGUUGGCGUACUCACGUUACUCUCUACACCUUAUGUGCAGAUUUAGGUGCCCGAGAAGCAGAGUGA
RNAcentral lists this long non-coding RNA (16595 nucleotides) under Nicotiana benthamiana. RNAcentral's name for it is "long non-coding RNA (NBEN_LNC020373)". The record is from RNAcentral. Lineage: Eukaryota; Viridiplantae; Streptophyta; Magnoliopsida; Solanales; Solanaceae.